GGCCUAUUGAAUAUAAUUUUAGGUCGAUCUGCCCAAUGAUUUAAAAUUUAAUGGCUGCGGUAUUUUGACUGUACAAAGGUAGCAUAAUCAAUUGUUUUUUAAUUGGAAACUAGAAUGAAAGAAUUAAUGAGAUAUAUACUGUCUCAUAUAUAAUUAAUGAAUUUAAAUUUUUAGUAAAAAUGCUUAAAUUAUUUUAUGGGACGAUAAGACCCUAUAGAAUUUUAUAUUAAUAUGAAUAAUUAUUUUUAUAAGAUUUUAUAUUAAUAUUUAAUUGGGAGGAUUAGUAAAUUUAAUAAACUUUAUUUUAAAAAUAAACUUUGAUUUAAGAAUUAUUUUUGAUCUUGUAUUAUGAAAAUAAGAAUAAAUUACCUUAGGGAUAACAGCGUAAUAUCUUUUUAAAGGUCAUAUUGAUAAAGAUGAUUGCGACCUCGAUGUUGAAUUAAGAUAAAUUUUAGAUGGAGAAAUUUAAAAAUUAAGUCUGUUCGACUUUUAAAAUCUUACAUGAUUUGAGUUCAAAUCGACGUGAGU
Molecule: ribosomal RNA, 528 nt
Filed under: Bombus longipes
Lineage: Eukaryota; Metazoa; Arthropoda; Insecta; Hymenoptera; Apidae
Description: partial 16S ribosomal RNA
Rfam family: Bacterial large subunit ribosomal RNA (bases 376-528)
Source: RNAcentral